RNAcentral lists this ribosomal RNA (607 nucleotides) under Clostridioides difficile. RNAcentral describes it as "bacterial LSU rRNA". It matches the Rfam family "Bacterial large subunit ribosomal RNA", at positions 401 to 1010 of the family's 2925-position model. The record is from RNAcentral. Lineage: Bacteria; Bacillati; Bacillota; Clostridia; Peptostreptococcales; Peptostreptococcaceae.
UAUGAUCCAGAGUACCACGGGACACGUGAAACCCUGUGGGAAGCAGGAGGGACCACCCUCCAAGGCUAAAUACUACCUAGUGACCGAUAGCGUAUAGUACCGUGAGGGAAAGGUGAAAAGAACCCCGGGAGGGGAGUGAAAUAGAACCUGAAACCCUGCACUUACAAGCUGUGGAAGCACAUUUCUUGUGUGACCGCGUACUUUUUGUAGAACGGGCCAACGAGUUACGUUAAGUAGCAAGGUUAAGCACUUAAGGGGCGGAGCCGUAGCGAAAGCGAGUUUUAACUGAGCGUUCAGUUACUUGACGUAGACCCGAAACCGGGCGACCUACCCAGGAGCAGGAUGAAGCGAAAGUAAAAUUUCGUGGAGGUCCGAACCCACGAGCGUUGAAAAGCUCGGGGAUGACUUGUGGGUAGCGGUGAAAUUCCAAUCGAGCCCGGAGAUAGCUGGUUCUCCCCGAAAUAGCUUUAGGGCUAGCCUCAAGGUGAGAGAUACGGAGGUAGAGCACUGAAUGUCCUAGGGGGUAUUGCACCUACCGAAGACUAUCAAACUCCGAAUGCCGUCAUCUUAUACUUGGGAGUCAGACUGUGGGUGAUAAGAUUCAUAG